Molecule: ribosomal RNA, 484 nt
Filed under: uncultured bacterium
Lineage: Bacteria
Description: partial 16S ribosomal RNA
Rfam family: Bacterial small subunit ribosomal RNA
Source: RNAcentral
AUUGAACGCUGGCGGCAGGCCUAACACAUGCAAGUCGAGCGGAUGAAGGGAGCUUGCUCCUGGAUUCAGCGGCGGACGGGUGAGUAAUGCCUAGGAAUCUGCCUGGUAGUGGGGGAUAACGUCCGGUAACGGGCGCUAAUACCGCAUACGUCCUGAGGGAGAAAGUGGGGGAUCUUCGGACCUCACGCUAUCAGAUGAGCCUAGGUCGGAUUAGCUAGUUGGUGGGGUAAAGGCCUACCAAGGCGACGAUCCGUAACUGGUCUGAGAGGAUGAUCAGUCACACUGGAACUGAGACACGGUCCAGACUCCUACGGGAGGCAGCAGUGGGGAAUAUUGGACAAUGGGCGAAAGCCUGAUCCAGCCAUGCCGCGUGUGUGAAGAAGGUCUUCGGAUUGUAAAGCACUUUAAGUUGGGAGGAAGGGAAGUAAGUUAAUACCUUGCUGUUUUGACGUUACCAACAGAAUAAGCACCGGCUAACUUCGUG